ACGAACAUGGCGAAAUUGGUAAACGCGAUAGUUUCAGGUACUAUUGGGCUAUAAUCCUUACAAGUUCAAAUCUUGUUGUUCGUA
Molecule: transfer RNA, 84 nt
Filed under: Sphaeropleales sp. YC001
Lineage: Eukaryota; Viridiplantae; Chlorophyta; Chlorophyceae; Sphaeropleales
Description: tRNA-Leu
Rfam family: tRNA
About the family: Transfer RNA (tRNA) molecules are approximately 80 nucleotides in length.
Source: RNAcentral